UGGGGAAUUUUGGACAAUGGGCGAAAGCCUGAUCCAGCAAUACCGCGUGCAGGACGAAGGCCUUCGGGUUGUAAACUGCUUUUGUACGGAACGAAACGGUUCAGAUUAAUACUCUGAACUAAUGACGGUACCGUAAGAAUAAGCACCGGCUAACUACGUGCCAGCAGCCGCGGUAAUACGUAGGGUGCAAGCGUUAAUCGGAAUUACUGGGCGUAAAGCGUGCGCAGGCGGUUAUGUAAGACAGGCGUGAAAUCCCCGAGCUCAACUUGGGAAUUGCGUUUGUGACUGCAUAGCUAGAGUACGGCAGAGGGGGAUGGAAUUCCGCGUGUAGCAGUGAAAUGCGUAGAUAUGCGGAGGAACACCGAUGGCGAAGGCAAUCCCCUGGGCCUGUACUGACGCUCAUGCACGAAAGCGUGGGGAGCAAACAGG
RNAcentral lists this ribosomal RNA (429 nucleotides) under uncultured Comamonas sp. Its description in RNAcentral is "bacterial SSU rRNA". It matches the Rfam family "Bacterial small subunit ribosomal RNA", at positions 355 to 776 of the family's 1533-position model. The record is from RNAcentral. Lineage: Bacteria; Pseudomonadati; Pseudomonadota; Betaproteobacteria; Burkholderiales; Comamonadaceae.